RNAcentral lists this ribosomal RNA (428 nucleotides) under uncultured bacterium. RNAcentral describes it as "bacterial SSU rRNA". It matches the Rfam family "Bacterial small subunit ribosomal RNA", at positions 8 to 482 of the family's 1533-position model. The record is from RNAcentral.
AGAGUUUGAUCCUGGCUCAGAGCGAACGCUGGCGGCAGGCCUAACACAUGCAAGUCGAACGAACUCUUCGGAGUUAGUGGCGGACGGGUGAGUAACACGUGGGAACGUGCCUUUAGGUUCGGAAUAACUCAGGGAAACUUGUGCUAAUACCGAAUGUGCCCUUCGGGGGAAAGAUUUAUCGCCUUUAGAGCGGCCCGCGUCUGAUUAGCUUGUUGGUGGGGUAAUGGCCCACCAAGGCUACGAUCAGUAGCUGGUCUGAGAGGAUGACCAGCCACAUUGGGACUGAGACACGGCCCAAACUCCUACGGGAGGCAGCAGUGGGGAAUCUUGCGCAAUGGGCGAAAGCCUGACGCAGCCAUGCCGCGUGUAUGAUGAAGGUCUUAGGAUUGUAAAAUACUUUCACCGGUGAAGAUAAUGACUGUAGCCGA